ACCUACUUAACUCUGCGGUUAGAGUCUCGCUUUCAUACGGCGAGAGGAAUUGGUUCAAAUCCAAUAGUAGGAA
Corchorus olitorius is the source of this 73-nucleotide non-coding RNA. NCBI's taxonomy places the organism in Eukaryota, Viridiplantae, Streptophyta, Magnoliopsida, Malvales, Malvaceae. The record is from Rfam.